RNAcentral lists this non-coding RNA (467 nucleotides) under Mus musculus (house mouse). The record is from RNAcentral. Lineage: Eukaryota; Metazoa; Chordata; Mammalia; Rodentia; Muridae.
GGCUUGAGGACCGUAUUCAUGGAAGAGGAUUGAACAGUAAAGAGCCCAGGAUUUGAUAAAAAUGAGAAUAUAUCGCCUCAAGCAGAAGCAGAUGAAUAUAUGGGAGAUGAAGUAGACAGUAUGUUGGAUAAAUCUGGAGUAAAGAACCCAGCAAUUGGUAAAGAUGAGAAUAUAUCGCCUCAAGUAAAAGGAGAUGAAGACAUGGGAGAUGAAAUUGACAGUAUGUUGGCUACAUCUGGAGGUCUUUUCUCCUGAGAACACGGGACUCCAGCAUCUUCGGAUUCUGCUCUUGGAGAUGUGUGCAGCUGAACAGAGCGUUGAGGAAACGUCAGUGAUUUUAUAACUACUUAUCAUGUUGGGAGAUUGUUGUGAUGAUUGCCUGGACUCUCAGAUGUUACACAGGCUGCAUCAUUGGACUGAAAGUGAAUGGCCCAUGUGUUGCCACUGAUGUGAGCCAUUUGCAAGCC